This 311-nucleotide unclassified non-coding RNA is filed under the name Hevea brasiliensis (rubber tree). The record is from RNAcentral. Lineage: Eukaryota; Viridiplantae; Streptophyta; Magnoliopsida; Malpighiales; Euphorbiaceae.
GGAGUUACUAUAAUCUCAUUGGAAAAUGGGGAAAAAUCAUUAGAGGGAAGAAACUUCAGGUUGGAAUGGAGAUCAGACUACACUGGGAUAAUGGAUGCUUAUUCUUCUCAGUUCCUCAGUUGUAGCAUUGGACAACCUGUAAAUGUAGGUGAGCCACCAAAAGACUUUUCCAUUUCAACGUGGAAUGUGGCAUUGAAAAUUAGAUUAUUCAGGCGAAUGGCUUGGCAGAGCUGGAUUUAAAUUUAUCCAGGCAGCAAGUGGCUGACUAAGCACAAAAUUUAUCAGGCUCUUGAGAUUUCAAAGACAAAAUA